UGGCGCAGUGGUUAACGAAUCCGACUAGGAACCAUGAGGUUGCGGGUUCGAUCCCUGGCCUUGCUCAGUGGGUUAACGAUCCGGCGUUUCCGUGAGCUGUGGUGUAGGUUGCAGACGCGGCUCGGAUCCAGCGUUGCUAUGGCUCUGGCGUAGGCCGGUGGCCACAGCUCCGAUUCGACCCCUAGCCUGGGAACCUCCAUAUGCCGCGGGCAUUUCUACCCUUCCAGGUAUAGAGAAUUUAUUCAAAGUCAGAUACAGACUGGCCAAACCACCUUCUACAAAGCGGACAGGAAAAAAGAGCCUACAGAAAAGGUAGGAGUUGUUAUAAAAUUGCCUUAAUUCCGCUCUCUCUGCGUUACAAGCCGGGGGUGGGUAGUGGACUGCCGUGCUGUGUGCUCCA
RNAcentral lists this long non-coding RNA (400 nucleotides) under Sus scrofa (pig). RNAcentral's name for it is "lncRNA (ENSSSCG00015057435.1)". The record is from RNAcentral. Lineage: Eukaryota; Metazoa; Chordata; Mammalia; Artiodactyla; Suidae.